Molecule: long non-coding RNA, 2369 nt
Organism: Asparagus officinalis (garden asparagus)
Lineage: Eukaryota; Viridiplantae; Streptophyta; Magnoliopsida; Asparagales; Asparagaceae
Exons: 4
Source: RefSeq, a predicted model, not a curated record
CCUCGAGUUCUCCGCUACCUCGACCAGUUCGGCAAGCCAAGGUCCAGUCCCUCGGCUGCCCCUUCUUCGGCCACCCACACCCCCCGGCGCCCUGCCCCCUGCCCCCUCCGCCAGGCCUGGGGCAGCCUCGACGCCCCUUGUCGGCCGCCUCCGCGCCGCCUUCGAGGCGAGAACGGCGGCCAGCCGAGGCUAACCCUUCGGCGCCCGCGCGGUCAGCGCUGUACCUGAGGGAGUCAGGGACACGCAGGCCAAGGCGAGGGGGAUCGCGUAUGAGAAGAAGAAGAGCGGAAGAAGCCCCCCGCCGCCGCCUUCCGCGAGUGAAGGCGGCGACGGCGGAGGCGGACGCUGGCGGUGGGGGAAGCGAGGGUAGUUUCGUGCUGGGGGGAGGGCAGUUUUGGGAAUUUUGGGAUGCGGGUCUGAGAUGGGGUGGAGCAGCAGGAGGUCGUUAUGCGCGGUUGUGGAGGCGGCCAGGGGAACGGGGGUUUUAUACCGCUCUCGGUGUUCCAUUAGCUAUGAUAAUUUUAGGGCUUUACUAAUUGAUGUUUUUUUUAGUCAAGAUGGAGCCUCUACCUACGAUUUUGUCAACACAGUUCGCAAGAGUGAAUAGUUAAGGAAUAAAUUUGCUGAUCAGUACGACUCAGAAAACAGUCUGUUGCACUGUUAGAGGUGGCAUAGCUAACUCAUGCUUAAGCAAUCCACAACUCCAUGUUAAUUCUUCUGUGUCCGGUUAGUCUGCUGCAAUUUAAAUAUAGACUUAUUUUCGCAGAUGAAUUUUCUAUCUUCUAGUUUUUAUCUGCCUUGUUGUUUGAAAUCUCUGAUACAGCAUUUGAAAUGUUAAAAGUAAUUGAGUUGGUCUAUUCUUUUAUAAUUUAUUUACUUUUAAUUUUCAGUGGUACGGCUAACUAUUGCUUAAGUAAUCCACAACUCCAUGUUAAUUCUUCUGUCUCCGGUUUGGCUACCGCAAUCUAAAUAUAUAAUUAUUUUCACAGUUGAAUUUUCUAUCUUCUAAUUUUUAUCUGCCUUGGUGUUCGCAAUUUCUAAUGCAGCAUUUGAAGUAUUCUCAAGUAAUUGAGUUGCGUGUUUUUAGUUUCUGUUGAUGUUAUUGAUGAAUGACAUGAUCACUGUCUUGCUUGUUAAUUAAAAUACACACACCGGCAAUUCCAUUUUCAUGCGAGUAUAAAAUGCUAAUAGGAUUUUUCUGAAUCGAGAGUAGAAAAGUUGGAGAAAUAUACAUCUUCCCUCCUGAAUUAAUUGUGCAUUCCUUCAAAGAAUUAUUUGUAUUUAGAGAAAUUAAGGAGGAGAGAAAUUUGUCUGAACGAGUCUUGCAAGCGAGUUUGUUUUUGGCUAAAACUAUGUAUAUAUUAAUCCAAUUCACACUGUUAAAUUCGUUAUCAAGUGGCUUUGCAUUAAUUAAAUUGAGAAGUUUAUAUAGCAGGAGUAAUUAAAGAGUAAUUAAAGAGAACAUGACGUAAAUUUUUCACUAUUAAAAUUAAAAAUAUAUUUAAUUGUCGGGUAAAUUUUUCACAAAUCCUAUGAACUUUAGGUUGUUUCUCGCAAAACCCUCCUGAAUCUCUUAUCAUACCACUAAACUUCACCUAAACUUUGGUGUGUUACAAAACUUUUCUAAACUUUCAAAAUAUCUCACCAUUAUUUUUAUAAUGCACCUUCUUUAUGUGUUUAUACGGGGUUGAACUUGAUAUAGUUUACAAAAAAUUUGUGGGGCACUCCGAAAUUCAGUGAAGAUCAGUAAGAGAGCAAAGUCCAAAGAAGUAUCGUGAGAAAUGCCCCCGGUGUUUUGCGAAUUUUACACCUUAAUUUAACUUUUCUCUUAUGGGAGCAAAUUGUAAAGUUUUCAACAGAUAUUUCAGUGUCACCUCGAUUAUUUUAUGAGAUGACUGAUGUGAUCUUUAAGUCAAAAGAAUCCAUAGAUUUACACCUUAUUUUAACUUGUCGCAAUAUGGAGCACGUUGAGGCCUUUGUGAUGGAACAGCCGUUGAAGUUAUGGGCUCCUGAAAGUUUGGCCAUAUCUCAGAUGAUGGAUUCGAAGUUGAAAUCAUUAGUUUUCUGAACUGCACAAACAGAGGAGAACAACUAUCAAAUAGCAUCGACAUAAAAAGCAUUCCGAAUUAACUGCAACCCAAUGUAUACUCUAAAGUCCCGCUGUACCAUUCCUCUCAUGUCAGUGCAGGGUUUUGCGAUCUGAGUACGUACGUGCCAAGAAUAAAAGAAUAAGUCACAUUUGCGUACAAAACCUUGGUUCUUUUUUCUCAGUUAAUAUGUGAAUUUGUGAUGUCUUAAUGGAUCAACAUGGUCUGCUACACUGUACGUAGGUGACAAGGGAAAGUAAUAUAUUUUUUUUUUAUUUGUGA